GAUGAACGCUGGCGGCGUGCCUAAUACAUGCAAGUCGAGCGAACAGACGAGGAGCUUGCUCCUCUGACGUUAGCGGCGGACGGGUGAGUAACACGUGGAUAACCUACCUAUAAGACUGGGAUAACUUCGGAAAACCGGAGCUAAUACCGGAUAAUAUAUUGAACCGCAUGGUUCAAUAGUGAAAGACGGUUUUGCUGUCUCUUAUAGAUGGAUCCGCGCCGCAUUAGCUAGUUGGUAAGGUAACGGCUUACCAAGGCAACGAUGCGUAGCCGAACUGAGAGGGUGAUCGGCCACCCUGGAACUGAGACACGGUCCAGACUCCUACGGGAGGCAGCAGUAGGGAAUCUUCCGCAAUGGGCGAAAGCCUGACGGAGCAACGCCGCGUGAGUGAUGAAGGUCUUCGGAUCGUAAAACUCUGUUAUUAGGGAAGAACAAAUGUGUAAGUAACUAUGCACGUCUUGACGGUACCUAAUCAGAAAGCCACGGCUAACUACGUG
RNAcentral lists this ribosomal RNA (497 nucleotides) under uncultured bacterium. RNAcentral describes it as "partial 16S ribosomal RNA". It matches the Rfam family "Bacterial small subunit ribosomal RNA", at positions 28 to 507 of the family's 1533-position model. The record is from RNAcentral.